AAAUAAAAAUCGGUGUUGUUGCUGCCUUGCGUGGUGACGCAUCGGAUUUGGGUCGUCUUACCUUCGGUUAAGUGACCUAAAAUUUUGCAUGAUUUUUCGAACGUAUUUAAAUUAUUUACGUACGUUUGUGAUAUCGAACAUUAGGUGCGGUCAUUCUCAUGAUUCGCGCCUAUGAUUUCUCAUCA
RNAcentral lists this unclassified non-coding RNA (185 nucleotides) under uncultured Dominikia. Its description in RNAcentral is "partial internal transcribed spacer 2". Lineage: Eukaryota; Fungi; Glomeromycota; Glomeromycetes; Glomerales; Glomeraceae. The record is from RNAcentral.